RNAcentral lists this small nuclear RNA (124 nucleotides) under Fukomys damarensis (Damara mole-rat). RNAcentral's name for it is "U2 spliceosomal RNA". It matches the Rfam family "U2 spliceosomal RNA". From Rfam's summary of the family: U2 is a small nuclear RNA (snRNA) component of the spliceosome (involved in pre-mRNA splicing). Complementary binding between U2 snRNA (in an area lying towards the 5' end but 3' to hairpin I) and the branchpoint sequence (BPS) of the intron results the bulging out of an unpaired adenosine, on the BPS, which initiates a nucleophilic attack at the intronic 5' splice site, thus starting the first of two transesterification reactions that mediate splicing. Lineage: Eukaryota; Metazoa; Chordata; Mammalia; Rodentia; Bathyergidae. The record is from Rfam by way of RNAcentral.
AUCGUUUCUUGGCCUUUUGGGUAAGAUCAAGUGUAGUGUCUGUUCUUAGCAGAAAAAGACCUGAGAAUUAGUAGAAUAGAUUGGAAGAUACAGAAACAGCUCCAGAUGUACUCAACUACCCCAU